ACAAGCGGCGGAGCAUGUGGAUUAAUUCGAUGCAACGCGAAGAACCUUACCUGGGUUUGACAUAUACCGGAAAGCCGUAGAGAUACGGCCCCCCUUGUGGUCGGUAUACAGGUGGUGCAUGGCUGUCGUCAGCUCGUGUCGUGAGAUGUUGGGUUAAGUCCCGCAACGAGCGCAACCCUUGUCCUGUGUUGCCAGCGCGUAAUGGCGGGSACUCGCAGGAGACUGC
Molecule: ribosomal RNA, 226 nt
Filed under: uncultured Rhodococcus sp.
Lineage: Bacteria; Bacillati; Actinomycetota; Actinomycetes; Mycobacteriales; Nocardiaceae
Description: partial 16S ribosomal RNA
Source: RNAcentral